This 476-nucleotide ribosomal RNA is filed under the name uncultured bacterium. RNAcentral's name for it is "partial 16S ribosomal RNA". It matches the Rfam family "Bacterial small subunit ribosomal RNA", at positions 28 to 507 of the family's 1533-position model. The record is from RNAcentral.
GACGAACGCUGGCGGCGUGCCUAAUACAUGCAAGUUGAGCGCUGAGGGUUUGUACUUGUGCCGACUUCGUGAGCAGCACACGUGUGAAUAACGCGUGUAGACUGUCCCUUACAUCGGGAUACAACAUGGGGAAACGAAUGCUAAUACCGCAUAAACACUUGAAACACAGUGUUGAAUGGUGAAAUAUGGAAUUGCGUCGCUUAAGGAUGGACUCGCGGUUUAUUAGCGGGGUGGUGACGUAAUAACUCACCAACGCGUUGAUGGAUAGCCGGCCUGAGAGGGUGACCGGCCACAUUGGGCCUGGGGUGCGACCCAGACUCCUACGUGAGGCAUCAGUGGGAAAUAUUGCACGAUGGGCGGAGGGCGUGAGCAGCAACGCCGCGUGCGAGAUGACGGCUUUCGGGGUGUAAACCUCUUGCGCCUGGAACGAAGCGUGAGUGACGGUAAUGAGUAAGGAAGCACCGGCUAACUACGUG